CUUGACAAAAUUUCUCUUUAAGAGGAUAUUCUUGUUUUAUUUCCUAGAUGCUAAUGCUACAUCAGAUAUCCGAUGUGAUUUUUGUGUGAGGUUAUUCUACUGAAUUGGUUUGUGGAAAUGUUAACGACUAAGGUUUUAACGGGACCAGCAGUAACUAUUUAGUGGUACCAGGGCUGCAAAUGUACAUGAGUUUUCCGCGAAGAAAAAUGUAGGCAACCACCAGUUUCUGUUUGAAAAUAAUGGAGUCAGUGCCUGGUGCUCACCAGCUCUACCGUGGGACUCACCUGGAAGACUGAGCUGUGGGCCUUCGCAGACCAAAGCCUGGACACAUUCAGAUGCACAGCUUCUAGCUGUGCAAUAAAUGAACUCAGUAAGAAAAUACAACCCCAGCAGAGAACUAUGGACAGACAUACUCAUGGAGACAGGGCUGGGGCCGGCCACAGAAGGCCAGCUUUCAUCCAACGAGAUCCAAGACGAAGGGAAAAGGGUUCUGUUUCUCCUAAGGAGAACUAGAAGAUAUCCAUGACGGAAGGAAGGUUCCAGAGGUAUGUAUCUGCCAUCUCCAAAGUCAAGGAGCCUCAGAACUGUAGCCUCUGUAGCUCUGGAGUAAAAUAGGUCAGUGACCAGCUGCUAUCGAAAUCUGCAUUUCAACCCACCGAAGAAGUGGCUGUUUCACAAUCAGAACCUGCUGAAAACGGAACGAGUUGCUUGAGGAGGUGAGAAGCCCUUCCGCUCUAGGUGAGGGAGGAAGGGGGGCCUUGGCUGAGCUGUCUCUCGGGGUACUGUGACGAGCUCCUGUGGUCUGUCUUCCAGGGUUGGAAUCUCCUAUUUAUGAUUCUCCUCAGUGUCCCCAUUUUUCUCUCUAGGAGAAUACCUGCAGCAUCUGCUCCAUGUCCUUCUGUGGGAUGCCUCCUUCCUGUCCCCAGCAACUUCUCCAUCCUUGACUGAAUCCGCCUUCUUUCCAGUCACCUGGGAAGGCCCGCCGGUCCUCCUGCACAUCACACCACGGCUCACCCUCACACAUGGCAACCCGUGUGCUCUGGAGAGUACCAAGAGUGAACUCCAGGGCAGGAAUCACAGUGAAAUCUCCAGCGCUUCACCGUAUGGGCAGGAAAACUGCAGCUCCUGGAGGUGGUACGAAGUGCCCAGGGCAGCAGGAGCCUCCCAGUGGGUCAGCCUGACUCCCCGUCUUCAGGUGCGGAUGGCAGCCAACCCGCCCUGACCUCACCCUGGACCAUUCCUCUCGCUGAGGCCCCGGCUUGCUGAGGCCGACUGGUUUCUUGGAAUGUGACAGGAAGAAAUACACAGGCUUUUCUUCACCAAAGAGUCUCGGUGACUCCUUCUGGUGUAGAGGUCUUGACAGAGGCCCUGAUUCAACAAGGAAGUGAGUUCUGCAAAAUAAAGCAAUGCGAGUCCCAAGGAGAUGGGAUUUUCCUUCUCAGCUACCACCUAAAUUGCAUAUUCCAUUUUUUAUUUAUUAAAAAGUUAGUGCAGAUUUGAGCAAAAACUAUUUUCUCAAUUCUGAAACAGAACAAAUCUGGGAUGUCAGAAAUCUCAAACCAGAUCUGUGCCAUGUAUUUGUCUCUCAUUCUGAGUUCUUAAUCAGUGUUAAAUUACUACAGAUGGCAUGGAUAUUGUCAUCCUGUAAACACGAGUUCACCCAGAGACGAGUCAGCCCACAGCCCAUCUGGAGACAGGCAGCAGCCACCACGCGCCAAGUGUGUGUUAGUCUCCUGUGCCCUGCUAAAGCCCACGGCCAUCCUGGAGGUAGACGCUGUUCUCCCGGGUCUUUGAGAGACAAGGGCACCUGAUCGUGUACUUUACAAACCGUGGGGCCAGGGCUUGAGUGCAGAGCUUGGGAGCUCUUUCUUCUCUUUGCAUCUCUUCCCAAAGAAAGCCCCAGAGGUCACCAACAGACUGUGGGGAGUUUGCCGAAGGGGAGCGUGUCUACCUUCAGAAAGGAGACCAAGGAGGAUAGGACAUUAGGAGUGGAGAAGAAUGUCCAAGUGUCCAUCAAUCCAAGCAGAGAAAACAUGCCCCAGGCAUGGAGGAGACAAGUGGGGAGAGGUGUCCAAGUCCAUCAGCAAAACAGGCUGAGCCAGACCUCACCUUGAAGGGGGCCACUGCCCACAUCACCAGACCUGUUCCUCACUGGGGUCCUCUGUAGGAGGUGGCCAGGACCAACAGGGCAAUGGUUUGAAGUAGGAGCUGUGGGUAUCUGUCAGCUGUGGGCCCACAGCCAAGGCACACAGCUCUCCUGGGAACCGGCAGCCCAAGCCUCACUGCCACCCGGCUGUCACCGUGCACCUCGGCUGUCACUGCGCACCUUGUGGGCAAGGCGCUUAGAGGCCUCAGAACUAUGUUUUUAAAAUGCAAAUUAUUUUCUAGAGAUUGCAAACUUCAGAGUUCUAAAACCAGUAAGAGCAAGCCGACUUCUCCCACCAACUCUAUUCAGAUUCAUGGAUUCAAAGUUGGAGUUCACGUUUUCUUUCUUAUUUUCUUUUUUCCUUACUUUGCACUCUCUUCCUUAUUUCUUCUUCCUUUUCUUCCUCAGUUUUAAAUGACUUUUUAAGUAGACUCUGUGUGGAGGUUAUGAAGGAGCUUGAAGAAGUCAGUUACCCACGUGGAGGAACUGGGGAGACGGAACAUGUGUCCCUACAGUGACUCUAGUAGCCAUGCGGUAGGUCUCCUGCCUCUUCAAGAUGUGUCACCUUCUCUCAAAUCCAAUCAUCUCUCCACUUCUACUUUGUUUUGAUUUUUUUCAAGUUUCCUGCCUUCCGAAGUCUUCCAUUUUUCUAAAGCCAUUGUUUAUCACCUUUGACCAUUCUCAUCUUCAUUUCUCAAAGAUCACUUCCAUUAUUUCAAGUUCUUUUCCAAGCUCUGUAACCACAUUUCUGAAUCUAUUUAAUUCAGUUUAAUCUCUGCUAACCUAAGUCAGAAUAGUUGUUGCCUCUGAUAAGAGGUCGGCACUCAUGGAACAUUCUAGGUCUUGAUCUUGAUGAGGUGAGGUUCAGGGUGGACAUUUGCCGUCACUUAGUGAGCUAUGUCCUUAGGGGUUGGCUGUUUCACCACAUGUAUAUAAAUUGUACCUUAAUAAAGUACUGCUGGGGGUGGGGCAAGAAUCGUUCAAGCAUGACCCUGGCAGUUCGAUCCCCAGCACAGUCAUCUGCUUCUGCUAAAUAUUUUAUUUUUCCAUAAAAGGUAGGGACCUAAAUAUACUGGAUGAGGCUCCUGUGGAGAUUAACCGAAGCUCUAGUCUCUGUAGCAUCAAGGUAGGGCUCCUUCAGGGACUUCCCGAUCUCCGGCAAGGGAAGUCCAGUGCCCCUUUGAACCACUGUAAGUGGUUCCUCUUUAAUCGCACAAGCCCACGGGUUUAAUGAAAAGUGCCCAAGUUCAGGACAGGCCUUUCCACGCGUAUAUUCUGCCUCCUUGUCUGGAGAAUAGUCCCCUCCCAAAAGGUUGAGGAGACAUUCUUGGAAUCUAUGUUCGGUGGCUUUUAGCACCAAGCCCAGCUAGCUGAGCUCAACUACUACAGAAAUUCUAGCUGCAGUCCUGCAUGUAACCUAGGGGUCCAAGGUCCGUGAUGCUCACUCUCCCCUGACCCCUGGAUCAGUGACCCUCCACUCUAGAGAAGCUGCAGUACACACUUGGGUACAGAUCGGUAAUGAGAAAACCAGAGUUGGAGAUGAAGUGUGAUUCUCUGGGGUGGAGCCCCUGCAAGCUGCAGGCCUUCUACAGCAGAGAAAGCCCCCUUUAGUGUUAGCAGCCGAUCACAGCAGGGUGUCACCUCCAAGGAUCCCAGAGUCACAGGCCACAAAGCUGGAUUCCUCGGCACUACCCCUGAGUGAUGUGCUGCAGCCCUAACUGGUAGGCCAGACUCUCCCGUGUUGGAACAGAGGUAGGGACUCACCACAAACCUCUUUCAGGGUUCUCUGCUUGCAAAUCAGAAGGAUGGAAUUCACAGGACAAUAAAGUCAAGAGUGACAGAAGUAGGAUUUAUUCAAGUGUGGAGAACAGAAAAAACUAUGGCAAUAGCAAGAGAGGAUCGCGACAGGGAUUAUCACCUGCGGCUGCUGGUCUCAGGGUUUAUACAGCCCUUGGGUCAACACUAUUGGUCCAAAGUUAUAAUAAGAGUUGGGAAAAAUACUGAUGCUCUUGGUACAAAGUUCUGCUAAUCAGCGUUUGGAAAAGUACCAGCCCUGAGCUGACCUUCCAGGCAGGUCUGCCCCACUUCCAUGGUCCUACCCCUGUAGGGGGUGGGAGGUGGAGGUUGUUGGAUGGUGGAUGCUUGGGGGUUCUAAGCUGCAGUGCUAUGCAGAGUGGGCAUCUGCACUGGGCCUAAGCCAGGCUGCCUGGGCCCUGGCUCUCCUAGGCCCUGGCCCUCUGCACCUCAGGCCCGUGCUGGCAUGGCGGGCUCCACAUAUCCUAGGCCAGUGCCAACCCCAAGGACUCCAGCCUAGGCUGUUGCUCCACAGCUCCAGGGCAAGGACCUGGUUCACUGAUGUUGGGGUGACCAGCUAGUCCUGCUAUGCCCAAGACUUUCCCAGUUUUAGCAUUAAACGUGGCACAUCGCAGGAACACACAGUCCCAGGCAAACCAAGAUUGUAUGUUGGUCCUCUUCUCCAGAAUCCUUAGGGAACUGGGUCUACCCUGCUAAGCUAAAUUUUCUUAUUAGCCAUAGAAUCUUAAAAUGAUUACUGAUCUUUUUCUCUGAUGUAGAAGUAACACAAACUUGUACAAAAUUAUAAAGAAAAAAAAUCACCAACAAUACCUCCCACCUUGCUGGGUAAAUAUGCGGUGCCAUGAUUUUCCACCGAGCACUGCGUCAUGAAAACCUUUCUCACGAUGAGACCUACCUCCCAAGGUGUGUUAGUAUCUGCCUGGGAGCCUCUGUGAACCAAUGCACCAUAAUUUUAACUGUUCCUCUUUGGCUGGACUUUGGUUCACUCCCCCUGACACUAUCUCUUCCUGCUUUUAAUGAAUGCUGUGAUUAACAUCCUCGGGCACAAAUCUUCUCUGUAGCACUUCGGGCAUUUUUUUUUUUAACCGCUAUCUUCUGUCUACUUGCUUCUCCUUUCUUUGGGUCCUGAGGAGUUUGCUCUGAUGCAGGGAAGUCCUGUGAACGCCAGGACCCUUGGUCAGGGUACUCCCACCUGCCCUCAGGUCACAGACACACUGAGAAUUCAGCUGAGGCUUGGUAGUGGUCCUAGUCUGAGCUCAAGGCGAGCACUCCGCAGUGUCUAGGGUAGGGUCUUCAUACUGUGAGCUCAGGCAGACCUGAGAUGGGGGAGCAGUUGUGAAUGGGAGGAGUAGCGAAGGACCAAGCGGGAAGGAAGCUGGGAUCCCAACCUGUGCUUCAACCUCAGCAGCUUCACAUUAAGCUACUUUUCAUGGGUAUUAUCUCUAGUCCUCUUAAGAACCUUGCAAAGGGUAUUCUCAGUGUUAAUUGGGGGGAAAAUAAAAGGUCCAGAGAGGGCAGGUGUCUGCUUCAUCCACUAAGUGAAACUUCUGGAUCCAAGGCCGGUUUUCCUGCUGCUCUGGAUGGACGGCAGCCUGUGCCUAGCUGCUGGAAGAGGAGGUGGAGGGUUCUGUGCUCUAGAUCCCAAUUCCAGAUCUGGGCAUUCAGUACAUUGGGGAGUAAGGGAAAAAGGAUCAAGUGAUGAAGUGGGAGCUAUAAAAAGUCCUAGAAAGUUACAAUCGUCCCUUGCAUCUUGGAGCACUGUCCAGUUGGUGGACAGAGCCACCCAAGAAAGCAUCUUAGAGAAAUGAGCCAGAACACUGUGUUUCAGUUUGGGGAACUUGGCCUUAGGGUCAUUCAGGGGUCCAGGGCUGUUGAGGAGAAAUACCCUGCAGGAUGGACUGGGGAAACACUGGGGCAGAGUGGGGCUGGCCUUAUAAGGAGUGGGAAGAGCUGGAGGUCACAAAAGGGAUGCAGUCAUGUCCCUGUUGAAUUCCAAAAACUGACCACACCUGAGCGUCCCAGAAAACAGAAGGCAAGGCCCAGGGCAUCUAGGCAGUGGACCUGCCCAUGUGCAGAGGCCAGCCUCACGCUGGGGCUGUGGGAGAGUCAUCCGACCCCAAAGAAGGCCCUGGCAUGAGCUGGGCCAGACGCAGGACCUCGCCAGCUGGAGAGCCUUCAGGAGGCGUCUGUGACAGUCCAGGCCUGAGGGUAAGGGUGACGCGGAGGACAAUGUGGUGGGGGAGAGCCCUGAUGUCUGCCCUGAGGCACCACAUAGCCAGGGUCUGGGAAGUCAGCCGGGGUGCCCAGGAAUCGUGGCUACUCAUCUGAACCCGGGUCUUGGAGCCAGGCUUAGCCCCCCAGCCAGUGAGUGAGGUGACAGGAGGCCAGGGCAGGAACCUGAGGGUGAGGGGUCGGUCAAGGUGUGGACUCUGCGGGUCUGCUCAGGGCUGACCUGUGCACGGCGGUCACCACGGCUGAGCCACUCCUACUGGGUCUGUGGUCACCUUUCGUCCUGUUAGCCCCAUGUCCCAGGCCAACUCCCUUCUCUGUUGAUAUUCUUCAAAUCACUCGAGGAAGGUGCUUCUUGCCAAAACGUCAAACACCAUUUCCCGAAGUAAAAAAGUACGAGUGCCCUUCACCUUCCUACACAUAUAAUUAAAAAAAAAUCAAUUUGGUGCAUAUCUUUCCAUGUAUGUUUCUAUGUAUUUUAAUAAAAAUAUGAUAAGUCUAG
RNAcentral lists this long non-coding RNA (6692 nucleotides) under Marmota monax (woodchuck). Lineage: Eukaryota; Metazoa; Chordata; Mammalia; Rodentia; Sciuridae. The record is from RNAcentral.